CAAUAGCGUAUAUUUAAGUUGUUGCAGUUAAAAAGCUCGUAGUUGGAUUUCGGGUGGGACGCAGCGGUCUCGCAUUGCGUUUGUACUGCUGCAGCCCUCCUUCUUGCCGGGGGCGGCCUCUCGGACUUCACUGUCUGGGGGUCAGAAUCGGCGAUGUUACUUUGAGUAAAUUAGAGUGUUCAAAGCAAGCUUACGCUCUGAAUAUAAUAGCAUGGGAUAACACGACAGGACUCUGGCCUAUCGUGUUUGUCUAUAGGACCAGAGUAAUGAUUAAGAGGGACAGUCGGGGGCAUUCGUAUUCCGUUGUCAGAGGUGAAAUUCUUGGAUUUACGGAAGACGAACAUCUGCGAAAGCAUUUGCCAAGGAUGUUUUCAUUGA
RNAcentral lists this ribosomal RNA (378 nucleotides) under uncultured eukaryote. Its description in RNAcentral is "partial 18S ribosomal RNA". It matches the Rfam family "Eukaryotic small subunit ribosomal RNA", at positions 592 to 976 of the family's 1831-position model. The record is from RNAcentral.